ACACUGUAAAAAAUUUCUGUAAAUUUACAUGAAAAUUCAACAGCAAAAUGCUGUUUUCGUGUAAUAACAGUAAGUUGCUGUUUUUUACAGUGCAUUGUGGGUAGACUUGCUCACUUCAGGUCGGUUGUCGAGCAACAACAGAAUGUCACUGUUAUUUAACAGUAUUAUAGCAUAUUUUUCGUUGUGCACGCCAUUUUGGAUUGUCUGCAUGAGGUAGGUCUGCAACUUUAUCGAUGCUUGUGCUAUUUUAAAAUUACAUAUUACUUUUGAAUAUUGCAUUUUAUCCAGUGAAGCUUUAAAACAACAAAAUCAGAUUCCAUUUCCUAUUUUAAUCAGGCAAAGCGGGUAUUCUACCAUCACAUCAGUUACACUCACAUCAGAUCACAGGGUUAUUUUGGUGCUUUGGUGCUAUUUUGGUCCCUAUUCCCUGCAUUGUAUAGACAAACAAAUAUUGCAUAUAUUAUUAAGAUGUGUGCCACUCCUGCUGACUUUGAGGAGACUAGUAACUUGUGACACCUCGUUUGAUCCUGUUUGGUAAAUAUGAAAUUUUUAUGAAAUUUUGACAUUUGACAUUUUUCACUAAACAAGGCCACUCCAGGCUGACACAACCUUUUACUAUCUUUCUUUCUUUCUUAUUCUUUAUGCCAUUCCAGCAUCUUUGGCUAUAUUCAUGGCGAGUACUGGUUAAUCCAUAUACAAGUUUUUAUUUACACAAGUCAAUCCAGACACUGGUUGGGGUAGAGACAAUUUGGCAUCUGUGAGUACCUAGCUGGGGCUCGAACCAGGGAUCUUCUUGCUGUGCCUUUUACUAUCAGGAGAACAUCAAGCUUUAUGUGCCUCAUUCUGGAGGCCACCGUAUUUUAAACAUGUUUAAUGUGUGACAAACUGCCAGUGCUUGCAUAUUCUUCUCACUGCCUUUUCUACACUUAGCUCUCCAGAUAUUAAGGAUUAUACAUUAAUCUAUACAUUCAUUUGGUCCA
Molecule: non-coding RNA, 980 nt
Organism: Paramisgurnus dabryanus
Lineage: Eukaryota; Metazoa; Chordata; Actinopteri; Cypriniformes; Cobitidae
Source: RefSeq, a predicted model, not a curated record